GACUGUUUACAAGGUAUCUUUUUUUUUUAGAGCACAUUUCAUCAAGAUGGAAUUUUUAAGAAGGUUUUCUGUGAAUUGACCGCUGUAAUGGGAAGCAAGCACUUCGUACAGAGCCUCAAAUUUAUCAGUGGUUUUAAAGACAAUGCAAAUAGAAACAUCCUCCAUAGAAAAGCUGAGAAAUACAAGUAUGUUCCUAAGUUUUUACUUUUAUUAACUAGAAAGUUAAAUUAAGGAUAUUGUAUCUGACCAUAUCACAUGGUGACCAGACAAUUCUGAUUGCUGACAUUCUCUUUCUGCCUCAGACUACUUUUUCUUAUUUACCUGUAUCUGCUGUUUGAUCAGUCCUAUACAGGUAAGAUGCGCUGAUGGUAGGACAUGGGCAAGGCCUUGGAAUUCCCAGCAGAAGUCACCUUGAAGACCGGGAUUGUCAGUCCAAUGCAGAGAAAUAUGGAAUAAAGCACAUCUGACAUACUUGACA
RNAcentral lists this long non-coding RNA (478 nucleotides) under Coturnix japonica (Japanese quail). Its description in RNAcentral is "lncRNA (ENSCJPG00005018394.1)". The record is from RNAcentral. Lineage: Eukaryota; Metazoa; Chordata; Aves; Galliformes; Phasianidae.